GAUCAUGGCUCAGGAUGAACGCUAGCUACAGGCUUAACACAUGCAAGUCGAGGGGCGGCAUGGUCUUAGCUUGCUAAGACCGAUGGCGACCGGCGCACGGGUGAGUAACGCGAAUGCAACCUGCCCGAUACCGGGGUAUAGCCCAUGGAAACGUGGAUUAACACCCCAUAGUACUUUUAUCCUGCAUGGGAUGUGAGUUAAAUGUUCAAGGUAUCGGAUGGGCAUGCGUCCUAUUAG
This 237-nucleotide ribosomal RNA is filed under the name uncultured bacterium. RNAcentral describes it as "partial 16S ribosomal RNA". It matches the Rfam family "Bacterial small subunit ribosomal RNA", at positions 15 to 244 of the family's 1533-position model. The record is from RNAcentral.